UUGCUCUUCAACGAGGAAUCCCUAGUAAGCGCAAGUCAUCAGCUUGCGUUGAUUACGUCCCUGCCCUUUGUACACACCGCCCGUCGCUACUACCGAUUGAAUGGCUCUGUGAGGCUUCCGGACUGGCCCAGGGAGGUCGGCAACGACCACCCCGGGCCGGAAAGCUAUCCAAACUCGGUCAUUUAGAGGAAGUAAAAGUCGUAACAAGGUCUCCGUUGGUGAACCAGCGGAGGGAUCAUUAAAGAGUUGCAAAACUCCCAACCAUUGCUAAACAACCACUGUUUCUUCGGCGGGUGGCCGCAUAGCCGCGCGCACCCUUCUCGGGGGGGACGCACCCCGCCGGAGCACACCAAACUCUUGUCAUUAUUGAUGCUCUGAGUAAAAAACAAAAUUAUUACAACUUUCAACAAUGGAUCUCUUGGCUCUGGCAUCGAUGAAGAACGCAGCGAAAUGCGAUACGUAAUGUGAAUUGCAGAAUCCAGUGAAUCAUCGAAUCUUUGAACGCACAUUGCGCCCGCUAGUAUUCUGGCGGGCAUGCCUGUCCGAGCGUCAUUUCAACCAUCAAGCCUAGUGCUUGUGUUGGGGCCCCGCGGCUGCCGCGGGCCCUGAAAACUAGUGGCGGGCUCGAAGUCGAACCGAGUGCAGUAAAUUUCUUCGCUUGGGAAGGUGACGAGUUCCGGCCGUAAAAAGCCCAACUUUAUCAAGGUUGACCUCGGAUCAGGUAGGAUUACCCGCUGAACUUAAGCAUAUCAAUAAGCGGAGG
RNAcentral lists this ribosomal RNA (763 nucleotides) under uncultured fungus. Its description in RNAcentral is "eukaryotic LSU rRNA". The stretch from base 1 to 241 matches the Rfam family "Eukaryotic small subunit ribosomal RNA", at positions 1593 to 1831 of the family's 1831-position model. The record is from RNAcentral. Lineage: Eukaryota; Fungi.